GGGGAAAUGCCCCGGCAACGCCAAGCUCCGGAACUACAACUCCCAGGAUCCCUUGGGGCAGAAGCCCGGGACAGUGUGCAGGCUCCCUGUGCCUGAGUCCCAGCGUCCUCAGAUGAAUUGGCUUUGCUUUCUAGCCCUCAAGCAGCCGAAAUCUCACCAAACAUGCGGAUUAUACUUGACUUUCUCCCAUAGAACAUUGCCAAAGUCAAGCGUUCCCGUAGAGUGCUCUGCGCACAGAAAGCGUCUGGACUACAUGUCCCAGCAUUCUCUGUAAGGCUCUUUCCCCACCAGCCUAAGAUUUUCCUUUCACUAAACAGGUGAACACUGGGCUUUGUGGGCGCAUCUGUCAUUUCAGUACUCCGGAGGACGAGGCAAGAGUCCUGCGUGGGUUACUGUCUUAGUUACUGUUCUGUUGCUGUGAAGAGACACCACGACCAAGCAACAAAACUCUAAGAAUCAAGAUAUUGAGAAAAGAGAAGAAAAGAAGUAUAAAGUAAUUUGGAGCCUGAGAGACGGCUCAGCGGGUAAAAGCUCUUGCACCUUUGGAAUUUGUUUCCCACUACCCAAGGUGGCAUCUCACAAAUGCCUUCAACUCUAGUGCUAGGAGAUCUGCCGCCCUCUUCUGGCCUCAGUGGGCACUGCAUACGCACGGAAACAAACAGGUUUUCUUGCCAGUGUGAACUGUAUGAUGUCAGGCGGGUUGAUGACUUCAUCAAGAAGCCUUUCCAUGCCGGGCCGUGGUGGCGCAUGCCUUUAAUCCCAGCACUCGGGAGGCAGAGCCAGGUGGAUCAUUGUGAGUUCGAGGCCAGCCUGGACUACCGAGAACCCUGGGUAAAGGCGGGAGCUGGCUCCCACAGAUGGCGCGAGAACUUGGGACGCGGAUGCAGAGGAGAUAAGGGAGAGUUGGGAGCAGUGGAAGCAGUUGGGCAUGCCUGGUUAUGAAUUAUGAAAAGGUUAGGCUGUCGAUGUCAUUCUAAACGGUCUUACUAAAUAAGAAACACAGAGCCAAAUGAAGAGUUAAAAGCCCAGAGAUCGAGCAGUAGCCAAGAGCUGAGACCACCUUAUCUUACCACUUGCUGCUGUCCUUCCCCUGAGAGAGACCUU
This is a non-coding RNA of Peromyscus maniculatus bairdii (prairie deer mouse), 1104 nucleotides long. The record is from RefSeq and is a predicted model, not a curated record. NCBI's taxonomy places the organism in Eukaryota, Metazoa, Chordata, Mammalia, Rodentia, Cricetidae.